RNAcentral lists this transfer RNA (67 nucleotides) under Teleogryllus emma (emma field cricket). Its description in RNAcentral is "tRNA-Ser". Lineage: Eukaryota; Metazoa; Arthropoda; Insecta; Orthoptera; Gryllidae. The record is from RNAcentral. RNAcentral also lists the same sequence under 1 other name.
GAAAUGAGAUGUUCAAGAGUGAGCUGCUAACUUAUCUCUUUAGCGGUUGAAUUCCGUUGUUAUUUCU